UAAUCCCUUGUUUGCAAUGACAACACCGGGGUGUGUGGACAGCGUCUUGUCCUCACAGGGACCCGUGUUCUGGGUAUGGAUUUGUCUUCCUCGCCUGGAGGGCUUCUACCAACACUACCGUUUCCAGAUUUAGACACUGCCCGGAUUUCCAGGUCCAGGAACCAAGGAGAGAUGAGAGAGAAGAGCGAGAGUGAGCACAGGCAGACAGAGUGACAAGCAGAGGCAGAGGAGAAGCAGGCUCCCUGCCAAGCAAGGAGCCCAAUGUGGGACUCGAUCCCAGGAUGCUGGGAUCAUGACCUGAGCCAAAGGCAGCUGCCUAACCAACUGAGCCACCCAGGCAUCCCUACAGGAGACAUUUGGCAUUGCUGGAAGACAGUUGGAGGUAGAAGGCACUACUGGUACCCAGUGGCUAAGGUGGGGGAAAGGUGGAAACUGGUCACAAUCCUGCAGUGCACAACAAAGAAUCAUCUCAGCGUCAAUGUUAGUAGUGCUGAGGCCAAGAAACCCCGCUCUGGGGGCAUCUGGCUGGCUCAUUGGGAAAGCAUGCAACUCCUGAUCUCCAGGUUUAGGGGAGGAUCGAUGUCCUAACAUCCCAGGAUCAGUCCGGUCCCUGUGGGAGUAAACCUCGGGGUUGUCUUUGAAAGUUUGAAGAAUCUGGGGAGACCCUGCUCACCAUCAAGAUGGUCCUGAAAUCGUGACCACGAUCUACCGCAUGGGAAACAAAGCAAAUAUUGUACUCUUGUCGAAGGAUGAGGGAGACUGAGAUUUCUGGCUCCUAAAACAGUGCCCGGAAUAUAGUAUUUUGAUGCCAGCUGGCGGACUAGAGUUCAGUUCUGGCCAUAACCACCCAGAGUUAGUGCAGACCCCACUGUUUAAAGGGGGCGCUCCACAGCAAUACCACUCCUAUUUCCUACCGCCUGGCUGCAGACUGGGGGGUUCUCUUGAUUCCCUCAGGUGUGCUAAUUUUCUGUAACCAAGCACAGAACAGGAAAGCAUUGCACUUAAUGAUCACAAUUUUAUGAUACAGGAGACAAAUCAGGACCAGCUACACGAAGAAAUAUAUAGGAUGAGAUCUGAAAGGUCCCAAAUGCAUAGCUUCUGUGUGCUCUUUCCACGGAUUAGGGAACAUCACUCCCUUAGCACAUCACCAGCCAGGAAGCCCACUGAGUUUUCAUUGGGAUUUCCUUCUGCAGGCCAGAUGGAUUAAAUCAUUGGCCAUACAACUGAACCUAAUCUACAGCCUCUUUUCCCUCCUUGGAGGUCAGGUGGGCUCGAAGUUCUGCCUCUCUAAUUGCAUGGUUGGUCCUUCUGGUGACCAGAUCCCUUCCUGAAGCUACCAAGGAGACCUCCAAGAGUCACCUCGCUAGCAAAACUCAAGUGUCAUCCGGAAAUCUCAUUAGUAACUAUGACAUUUCUAUCACCUGGGAAAUAUCAAGGCUUUUAGGAGCUCCAUGCCAGGAACCUGGCACAAAUUCUUUAUUCUACAACACAUAGUAGACACUCAAUAAAUAUUUGCUAAGUGGAAAGAGACACUAAAAAUGCCAGAAAUUGGCAGGGGAGAGGAAGGCAGUUAGGCUCUUAGAUUCUUCCACGUGACAAGUGUAUGUGCCUAUUAUGAAGACAGACACAUUAGGUUACAAAAAACCAAUACCGUCAAACAUUCCAAUCCUAUGACAGAUUCCUUUUGCUCUGGUUUACAUUACCAAGCACCCUGAUGAUAAUUUGACUUCCCAUGUGACUUGUGUAUAGAAAGACAAGGCUAGACGGGCAGACAUAAGCAUGUCCGUCUGCCUGAGUCAGUUUCUUGUUGCAAAUUAAUAAAGUGGCAUUCUGGCUCACGUG
Molecule: long non-coding RNA, 1842 nt
Organism: Mustela lutreola (European mink)
Lineage: Eukaryota; Metazoa; Chordata; Mammalia; Carnivora; Mustelidae
Exons: 4
Source: RefSeq, a predicted model, not a curated record